This 468-nucleotide ribosomal RNA is filed under the name uncultured bacterium. RNAcentral's name for it is "partial 16S ribosomal RNA". It matches the Rfam family "Bacterial small subunit ribosomal RNA", at positions 28 to 507 of the family's 1533-position model. The record is from RNAcentral.
GACGAACGCUGGCGGCGUGCUUAACACAUGCAAGUCGAACGGAAAGGCCCUGCUUUUGUGGGCUGCUCGAGUGGCGAACGGGUGAGUAACACGUGAGUAACCUGCCCUUGACUUUGGGAUAACUUCAGGAAACGGGGGCUAAUACCGGAUAGGAGCUCCUGCUGCAUGGUGGGGGUUGGAAAGUUUCGGCGGUUGGGGAUGGACUCGCGGCUUAUCAGCUUGUUGGUGGGGUAGUGGCUUACCAAGGCUUUGACGGGUAGCCGGCCUGAGAGGGUGACCGGCCACAUUGGGACUGAGAUACGGCCCAGACUCCUACGGGAGGCAGCAGUGGGGAAUAUUGCACAAUGGGAGGAAGCCUGAUGCAGCAACGCCGCGUGCGGGAUGACGGCCUUCGGGUUGUAAACCGCUUUCGCCUGUGACGACGCGUGAGUGACGGUAAUGGGUAAAGAAGCACCGGCUAACUACGUG